This 564-nucleotide long non-coding RNA is filed under the name Salmo salar (Atlantic salmon). RNAcentral describes it as "lncRNA (ENSSSAG00000113613.1, ENSSSAG00020082762.1)". The record is from RNAcentral. Lineage: Eukaryota; Metazoa; Chordata; Actinopteri; Salmoniformes; Salmonidae.
UUUUUCCAGCAUCAAUCGGUUAAAUCACAUUGCUAAAAUGUUUUCAUUCAGUUACAACCGUUACAGUCCUCGACUGGCCCCACAUGCGAGUGCACUGUGGCCGCUUCGUGAUUACAAUGUAGCCAAGUUGGGUCUGGAUGCAGCUAUGCACAAAAUGCACAGGAUAUUUGAAUCUCGAUAAAACAGCUCUGCUCGGCAAGACAGUUAUGUGCAGAGAGGAGGCAGUGAGGGGCCACGGACUCAUCAGAACCAGAGCUGACCCUUAACCUGCCCUGUCUGAUGACACUCUCGUUUCCAAUGACGACCCUCCACAGCAGCGAGUUCUGUCCUCGUUCCCGUCCCUCUCGGCUGAACUGAAGCACUUCAGUCUCUGUCUGUUGGAGCCGCAGCUCGAGUGCCCUCCAUCUACUUCACUGACCGACCAACCGCUUUUCCAGUGACCAACUGCCACCGCUGUACGACCAUUGCCUCCACAGAAGACCACAGGCUACAGUGGCCUAUCAGGCCAAACGAGGGGCCUGUGCCACAGCAAACCUCUGCUCAAUGAUUCCACCUAAGGCUGAG